AACGCACAUUGCACCUUUUGGUAUUCCGAGAGGUAUGCUUGUUCGAGCGUCGUUUAAACAAUAUUCAUUUUAAUUUUAAUUAAACUGAAUGUCAUUGAGGGAUUUGGGUUUUUACACCAAACCUUCCAAAACAAUUGGAAAUUAAAAAAAGCGAUCUUGACUGAUUACUAUUGAACGCAUUAAAAAAAUAAAUUCUUUUCUAACAAUUUAUUCGGGCAAGAAAAUCAGUGUGAGAGCAGCCAAAAUAAAAUAAAACAAAAUUAAAAAAAAGAAAUUUACUUUUCCUUUUUUUUAAAAUGUUUACAUCAAAUUAUCGACCUCGAAUCAAGUAGGAUUACCCGCUGAACUUAA
Molecule: unclassified non-coding RNA, 351 nt
Filed under: uncultured fungus
Lineage: Eukaryota; Fungi
Description: partial contains 5.8S ribosomal RNA, internal transcribed spacer 2, and large subunit ribosomal RNA
Source: RNAcentral